Molecule: non-coding RNA, 366 nt
Organism: Anolis carolinensis (green anole)
Lineage: Eukaryota; Metazoa; Chordata; Lepidosauria; Squamata; Anolidae
Source: the annotation of a RefSeq genome assembly
AUGGCGGGACCGGCCACGCCUCCCAUGGCGCGCGCCCACUGCAGGAUCUUCCUGGAUGUUCAGCUUGAAUCUUCUGGACCGGGAACAGUGAGGCCUGGGGAAACUCUCAACCUGCUCUGUAAAGUGACUGGGAUCUCCAUCUCUACUCAGAAUUAUGCAUGGCAUUGGAUCCGGCAGCCUCGUGACAAAGGUCUAGAAUGGAUUACAGGAAUAUACCUCUAUGGUGGAAGAAAAUACUAUGCCACUUCUCUAAAGAGUCGAAUCACCAUUUCUUCAGACUCCUCCAAGAAUGAGUUCUCCCUCCAGCUGAGUUCUGUGACACCCGAGGACUCGGCUGUGUAUUUCUGUGCCCAGGAAACACAUUGA